Molecule: ribosomal RNA, 446 nt
Filed under: uncultured bacterium
Lineage: Bacteria
Description: SSU rRNA
Rfam family: Bacterial small subunit ribosomal RNA
Source: RNAcentral
AGGAUGAACGCUGGCGGCGUGCCUAAGACAUGCAAGUCGAGUGGGUUUAGGCCCACGGCGAACGGGUGAGUAAUACCUAGGAACUUUCUUUAAGUGGAGCAUAACCCAUAGAAAUGUGGGACAAUUCUCCAUGUGGCAGUAAUGCUAAAGCAGCAAUGCGCUUAAAGUGAGGCCUGGGCACCAUCAGCUAGUUGGUAAGGUAAUGGCUUACCAAGGCUAUGACGGUUAGGGGUCCCGAGAGGGAGAACCCCCACACUGGAACUGCGACACGGUCCAGACUCCUACGGGAGGCAGCAGUUUGGAAUUUUGGACAAUGGGCGAAAGCCUGAUCCAGCGACGCCGCGUGGACGAUGAAGGCCUUCGGGUCGUAAAGUCCUUUUGCUCGGGAACAAUAUUUUGAGCGUACCGAGAGAAUAAGAGGUUGCUAACUCUGCGCCAGCAGCCGC